GCUCUCUCCUUCAGUCAAAGACAUUUCAGAGCCGCUCCUCUCAUUUUUCUCUUCCUCUGAUUUCGAUUCUUUCUACAGCUGCUCCUUUCCUCCUUCUGUGACAAUGACACAGCACCAACAACCACAUCUCCUCUCCUCUCAAGCUCUCCUCCUUCUGUGACGACGUAGACGAGACAGGGUCGGCGGCGUCAUAUUCUUUCCUCAAUUCCUCUCUCAUAUCAGUUUAAGGUAAGCAUCCUCUUCCUUUGAAUUUAGGGUUUUUUUCUUUUAAAUUAGGCUUGUUGACUUAGGGCUUCGAAAUUGAAUUGGGGGUUGAGGUAGAUUAUUUUUUCUAUUAAAUUAAGGCUGUCAAGGUGGUUUAGACACUGAUGGAUUGAUAGUUUAUGAUUUUUUGGAUAUUUGGUGGGUCUAAUUUAUUUGAUUUGUUAAUAUUUGAAUAUUGAUAAGUUUGGAGCUCAUUUAUUGGAAUGUAUUGGUCUUCAAAGCUUUUUUUUCACCUGUGCUUUAACUACCCUGACAAGUUAAUUACAGUGUUUGGUCUUUCCUCAUUUAUUGGAAUGUAUUGCUCUUAAUUUUCUUUUAUAUCUAUAUAUUGGGUUCAGUUCCUUAGUGUGUUUGGCUCCUCUCCCUCCGUAGUAGCAGAAGUUUUUAAGCUGAGAAGCUUUUGUUUUGUAUCAUCCUACCGUGGUGUCUUACUUGUGCAUCCUUCGUCUAUAGACAGUGCAUAAACAUUGUUGGAGCAGUGAUCAAUAACUACAACUUUAAGGCUAUAUUUGCAUUACAUGAAAUCAGUGAAUGCUCAGCUAACUUAAGACACAUAUAAGAAGAAGAACUAUUGUUGGCUAGUGACAGACAUUCAAUCCAAGCAUAUAAAUAUGAAAAAGCAGGAACCGAAGGGAGAGAGAUGAUGACUUCUUAUGACGGAACAUCAAUCAGGAAUCAGGAUAGAUAAAAAGUAAAGAGAUGUCUACUAUUCAACCGAUUAUCUUCAGAGUCAAUCAAUCCAUAUUGGGACGACAGUCGGGUCAAGCAUCCCAUAUUGUUUUGUCUUGUGCAGGGAAUUUUGUUUCCUCUGGCCUCAAAGCAAAGACUAGGUAAUUUGGAUUUGAAAUGUGUGUAAUUUGAUUUCUGUUCUUAGGUAAAUAUUCUUGUUUUAAGUGUUGUUUCUGUUGCAUUUAAUUUUGUUUAUGUAACUGAAAGCUCAACAACUGAUAUAAACUUUUAAUCAUGGUCAUAGUAGAAAAAAUAUAGUGGAGGUUGUUGUGGUCUCUGAGAUAGUUGCAGGCCUUUACAAAGGGUUGAUCUAGAAAAGAGACGUGCAGAGAAGGAACGGGCAGAAAAGGGGCACGUGCCUUCUGGUUAUUUUCUUCCUCUUACUUUCAAAGUUUUAGUAGGUAGUUUCUUUCCUUUUUAUGAAUGAUUUUCUUAAUGCCUUGUCUUUGCAAUAUGUGACAUUUGACUUUA
This is a long non-coding RNA of Prunus dulcis (almond), 1464 nucleotides long. RefSeq lists it as uncharacterized. The transcript has 4 exons. The record is from RefSeq and is a predicted model, not a curated record. Lineage: Eukaryota; Viridiplantae; Streptophyta; Magnoliopsida; Rosales; Rosaceae.